AUCCUGGCUCAGGAUGAACGCUGGCGGCGUGCUUAACACAUGCAAGUCGAGCGAAGCACUUGGAACGGAUCCUUCGGGUGAAGUUCCAUUUGACUGAGCGGCGGACGGGUGAGUAACGCGUGGGUAACCUGCCUCAUACAGGGGAAUAACAGUUUGAAAAGACUGCUAAUGCCGCAUAAGCGCACAGGGCCGCAUGGCCCGGUGUGAAAAACUCCGGUGGUAUGAGAUGGACCCGCGUCUGAUUAGCUAGUUGGUGAGGUAACGGCCCACCAAGGCGACGAUCAGUAGCCGACCUGAGAGGGUGACCGGCCACAUUGGGACUGAGACACGGCCCAAACUCCUACGGGAGGCAGCAGUGGGGAAUAUUGCACAAUGGGGGAAACCCUGAUGCAGCGACGCCGCGUGGAUGAAGAAGUAUUUCGGUAUGUAAAGUCCUAUCAGCAGGGAAGAAAAUGACAGUACCUGACUAAGAAGCCCCGGCUAACUACGUGCCAGCAGCCGC
This 502-nucleotide ribosomal RNA is filed under the name uncultured bacterium. Its description in RNAcentral is "bacterial SSU rRNA". It matches the Rfam family "Bacterial small subunit ribosomal RNA", at positions 16 to 518 of the family's 1533-position model. The record is from RNAcentral.